This 460-nucleotide ribosomal RNA is filed under the name uncultured bacterium. RNAcentral's name for it is "partial 16S ribosomal RNA". It matches the Rfam family "Bacterial small subunit ribosomal RNA", at positions 338 to 795 of the family's 1533-position model. The record is from RNAcentral.
CCUACGGGAGGCAGCAGUGAGGAAUAUUGGUCAAUGGACGAGAGUCUGAACCAGCCAAGUAGCGUGAAGGAUGACUGCCCUAUGGGUUGUAAACUUCUUUUAUAUGGGAAUAAAAUGUUCCACGUGUGGGAUUUUGUAUGUACCAUAUGAAUAAGGAUCGGCUAACUCCGUGCCAGCAGCCGCGGUAAUACGGAGGAGCCGAGCGUUAUCCGGAUUUAUUGGGUUUAAAGGGUGCGUAGGUGGAUUGUUAAGUCAGUUGUGAAAGUUUGCGGCUCAACCGUAAAAUUGCAGUUGAAACUGGCAGUCUUGAGUACAGUAGAGGUGGGCGGAAUUCGUGGUGUAGCGGUGAAAUGCUUAGAUAUCACGAAGAACUCCGAUUGCGAAGGCAGUUCACUGGACUGCAACUGACACUGAGGCUCGAAAGUGUGGGUAUCAAACAGGAUUAGAUACCCUUGUAGUC